CCGCUGCGCCGGGGGGUGGGGGGGCCGAACGGGACUCUUUUCUUUCAGACUGACCGCGGGGCAGCUGCGGAGCAUGUCGACCCCGGCCCGUAGGAGGCUCAUGCGGGAUUUCAAGCGAUUGCAAGAGGACCCACCUGUGGGGGUCAGUGGUGCACCAUCUGAAAACAACAUCAUGCAGUGGAACGCAGUUAUAUUUGGACCAGAAGGGACACCCUUUGAAGAUGGUAAGUCAUUCUUAUUAUCUACAUAUUAAAAGGGUGCUUUUUGGUAAGAGGCUCUAACACUAUUUGAAGACAGGCUCUACUCUUAGUAAACUCUUUGCAUACUAAGCAAGCAAGUGAAAAAUUAAGAGUUUAUGAGGAUCUGUUUUUGCAGAUCAGCUUGGUCACCUCUCACCAGUUUCCUCUGUGACAUGGGCUGCCUCUACAGCUGUAGGUCUAAGUGGGUCUGUGCUAUAGUUGGGUGGCCUAAUAGAGGUUGCUCUUCAGUUAAUACCAAGAGGGUGAUUGUAUUUCCUUGCUUUAUUGUCUGCAUUGAUAAGGGUCUUAUGAUAAAAAUUUUCAUUUCUUCUUUUCCCUCCUGCUAGGGAUCAAAUCCAGAGUUUAGUGUGUUCUAGGCAAGCACUCCACUGCCAGGCAUCCCUGAGUCCUGAAUCUGUAGUCACCGGUAGCUUCACUACUCAGCAUUUAGCACCCAGAAACACUGUGCAGUCAUUUGCGUCUCAAGUUGGGUCUCUCUGACAGGAGCCAGGAAAAUGGGAGAAUGGUUCUAAUCUGUAAUCACAAUUAAGUUUAUU
Molecule: long non-coding RNA, 796 nt
Filed under: Rattus norvegicus (Norway rat)
Lineage: Eukaryota; Metazoa; Chordata; Mammalia; Rodentia; Muridae
Description: long non-coding RNA NONRATT005414
Source: RNAcentral